This 909-nucleotide ribosomal RNA is filed under the name Leptodontidium irregulare. Its description in RNAcentral is "LSU rRNA". It matches the Rfam family "Eukaryotic large subunit ribosomal RNA", at positions 38 to 964 of the family's 3401-position model. Lineage: Eukaryota; Fungi; Ascomycota; Leotiomycetes; Helotiales; Leptodontidiaceae. The record is from RNAcentral.
GCAUAUCAAUAAGCGGAGGAAAAGAAACCAACAGGGAUUGCCUCAGUAACGGCGAGUGAAGCGGCAACAGCUCAAAUUUGAAAUCUGGCUCUUUCAGGGUCCGAGUUGUAAUUUGUAGAAGAUGCUUCGGGUGUGGCUCCGGUCUAAGUUCCUUGGAACAGGACGUCAUAGAGGGUGAGAAUCCCGUAUGUGACUGGUUGCCUUCGCCCAUGUGAAGCUCUUUCGACGAGUCGAGUUGUUUGGGAAUGCAGCUCAAAAUGGGUGGUAAAUUUCAUCUAAAGCUAAAUAUUGGCCAGAGACCGAUAGCGCACAAGUAGAGUGAUCGAAAGAUGAAAAGCACUUUGGAAAGAGAGUUAAACAGUACGUGAAAUUGUUGAAAGGGAAGCGCUUGCAACCAGACUUGCGUGCGGUCGAUCAUCCGGUGUUCUCACCGGUGCACUCGAUCGUAUUCAGGCCAGCAUCGGUUUCGGUGGUUGGAUAAAGGCCUUGGGAAUGUAGCUUCUUUCGGGGAGUGUUAUAGCCCAAGGUGCAAUGCAGCCUACCGGGACCGAGGACCGCGCUUCGGCUAGGAUGCUGGCGUAAUGGUUGUAAGCGACCCGUCUUGAAACACGGACCAAGGAGUCUAACAUCUAUGCGAGUGUUUGGGUGUCAAACCCAUACGCGUAAUGAAAGUGAACGGAGGUGAGAACCCUUAAGGGUGCAUCAUCGACCGAUCCUGAUGUCUUCGGAUGGAUUUGAGUAAGAGCAUAGCUGUUGGGACCCGAAAGAUGGUGAACUAUGCCUGAAUAGGGUGAAGCCAGAGGAAACUCUGGUGGAGGCUCGCAGCGGUUCUGACGUGCAAAUCGAUCGUCAAAUUUGGGUAUAGGGGCGAAAGACUAAUCGAACCAUCUAGUAGCUGGUUCCUGCCGA